UUUACAGCAUUAAAUGGAUACUUAAGCAUUAAAAUUUUAAAUGGGCGUUUUUUAACGAAAUAUUGUAAGGAGCAGACAAUUGUGUUUAGAUUUACAAUUCCCCAUAAAAUCAGAAAACUGAUUUUCAACUAAUGAAAAAUUGUUUGAAAUUACUUUAAGCAAAAAAUUUGGUGAAUUGAAUCAUCUAAGUAACCAAAAUACAAAAAUCAAACGAGGUGCUGCUAGUAGUGGCGAGCGAACGCAGCAAAAAGACUCAAAAAUUGAUAAAUUUAUUUAAUAUUUAUAAUAGCCGUAGCAAGGUGGCCUGAUAAUAGGACAGCCCUGUAAAAUAAAGUUUAAAUUUUUAUUUAGUAAAAUGAACUAAGUCAUAGUUUGUUUGAAUACUGUGGGACCACCCACAAAGUCUACAAAUUUUAAUGACUAAUAGUGAACAGUACCGUGAGGGAAAAGUGAAAAAGACUUUGUGAAAGUGAAAAGACUUUGAAAUUUAAUGCUAACAAUCUGUUGGAGUUUUCAAAAUGACGACGUACCUUUUGUAUAAUGGACCAACAAGUUUAUUUCAAAGGCGAGCUUAAGUAAUUGUACGUAGGCGUAAAGAAAUUAAGUUUUAAAAGGCUUUUAGUCUUUGGAAUAAGACCCGAAACUAAGUGAUCUAGUCAUGAACUGGUUGAAGUUUAGGCGGAAACGCUUUUCGGAGGACCGAACCCGUGUAUGUGGAAAAAUACUGGGAUGAUUUGUGAUUAGGGGUGAAAGGCCAAUCAAACUUAGAGAUAGCUGGUUUUCUGCGAAAUCUAUUUUAGUAGAGCGUUUAAAGAACUUUUUCAAAGGUAGAGCUCUCGGUAGAUAAAGGGGAUUUAUUGUUCUACUGAAUCUACUGAAACUUCGAAUGUUGAUUAAAAACGACUUUAAGCAGACAGACUGUGGGUGCUAAGAUUCACAGUCAAAAGGGAAACAGCCCAGAUUAUCAAUUAAGGCUCUUAAAAAUAAUUAAGUGAAAAAAUUGUGAAAAAAUGUUAACAACCGAAAAGUAGGCUUAGAAGCAGCAAUCUUUUAAAGAAAGCGUAACAGCUCAUUGGUUUAGUUUUUUUGUAUUGAAAAUGUAUUGAACUAAAAUUAUUUGCCGAUGUUGUAAAUUUAUAAGAAUUAAAUGGUAGCAGAACGUUUUGUAAAUCUAAGAAGUUUUAUAGUGAUAUAAAAGUGAAGAUAUCAAAAAUGAAAAUGUUGGUAUGAGUAACGAUAAACAGUGUGUAAAACAUUGUCGCCUUAAGUUCAAGGUUUCCAAAACAAGGUUAAUCCGUUUUGGUAUUUAAUCGGUCUCUAAGGGUAAAAACGAAAGUUUUAAUUCAAUGAGAAAAAAAUUAUUUUUUAUUUUUCAAAAGUGACAAAAUAUGAAUAUUAUUUUUAUUUUAUGGUUUAAAUAAAAGUCUUAUAAUAUUUUCUAGAAACAGCUUUUGAUAUCAAUCAACCGUACCUUAAACCGACACAGGUGAACAAGUUUAGUAAACUAAGGCGUUUGAGAGAAUUAUGUUGAAGGAACUCGGCAAAAUGACUCCGUAACUU
Molecule: ribosomal RNA, 1560 nt
Filed under: Fragilariopsis kerguelensis
Lineage: Eukaryota; Bacillariophyta; Bacillariophyceae; Bacillariales; Bacillariaceae
Description: partial Bacterial large subunit ribosomal RNA
Rfam family: Bacterial large subunit ribosomal RNA
Source: RNAcentral